CCUACGGGAGGCAGCAGUGAGGAAUAUUGGUCAAUGGCCGUAAGGCUGAACCAGCCAAGUCGCGUGAAGGAAGAAGGAUCUAUGGUUUGUAAACUUCUUUUAUAGGGGAAUAAAGGUAUCCACGUGUGGAUAUUUGCAUGUACCCUAUGAAUAAGCAUCGGCUAACUCCGUGCCAGCAGCCGCGGUAAUACGGAGGAUGCGAGCGUUAUCCGGAUUUAUUGGGUUUAAAGGGUGCGUAGGUUGUUUUUUAAGUCAGCGGUGAAAGUUUGUGGCUCAACCAUAAAAUUGCCGUUGAGACUGGCAGACUUGAGUGUGUUUGAGGUAGGCGGAAUGCGUGGUGUAGCGGUGAAAUGCAUAGAUAUCACGCAGAACACCGAUUGCGAAGGCAGCUUACUAAGCCAUAACUGACACUGAAGCACGAAAGCGUGGGGAUCAAACAGGAUUAGAUACCCCUGUAGUC
RNAcentral lists this ribosomal RNA (460 nucleotides) under uncultured bacterium. RNAcentral's name for it is "partial 16S ribosomal RNA". It matches the Rfam family "Bacterial small subunit ribosomal RNA", at positions 338 to 795 of the family's 1533-position model. The record is from RNAcentral.